Triticum aestivum (bread wheat) is the source of this 96-nucleotide non-coding RNA. The record is from Rfam. NCBI's taxonomy places the organism in Eukaryota, Viridiplantae, Streptophyta, Magnoliopsida, Poales, Poaceae.
CUGUCUGAUGAUGAUCAAACUAAAUACUUUCGCUCUUCUGAUGCGCUAUCUCAUGACGCGGUGCGGAAGCAAUUUGGAGACCUGAAUUGGGGAAAU